This 282-nucleotide long non-coding RNA is filed under the name Fukomys damarensis (Damara mole-rat). Its description in RNAcentral is "lncRNA (ENSFDAG00000029267.1)". The record is from RNAcentral. Lineage: Eukaryota; Metazoa; Chordata; Mammalia; Rodentia; Bathyergidae.
AUGGUCAUCCUGUCAGCAAGGACCACAGCCCAAGGUUUUCCUUCAACUCAGCGAGCCAUAGCUCUCCGAGGUAGUUGGAUGUCGCGAGGCGCGACGUCAGGAUCCUGCCAGCAGGUCCUAAACCUGAAAGGACGAGGACAGAGACACGGGAGACACCUUUCUUCUCAUGUUCCUUGCUUGCUUUAUUACAGAACCUCUUCCUUUUAUACUCUCCAGCUGCAUGGGAGAGAGGGCUGCACUGGAGCGAGAGUACCGCCCACACAUUCCAGAGGGAAACAAUAA